Molecule: long non-coding RNA, 1593 nt
Organism: Ornithorhynchus anatinus (platypus)
Lineage: Eukaryota; Metazoa; Chordata; Mammalia; Monotremata; Ornithorhynchidae
Exons: 3
Source: RefSeq, a predicted model, not a curated record
UGGCAGCCUCUCCAGCGGGAUUGCACCGACCUCAGCUGGCUGGCCAGGGACUUUUCUUUUUGAGCUUCUCGAUCACUGUACCCCAUGCUACGAGUCUCUUCUACAACUCCCGUUCUAGCUCCCCAAAAGCCCAGGAAUGAGUUGGGGUGCCGUAGCCCUACCCCUGUGCAAUAGGCUAUGAGUUUGUGGUGGAGAGGGAAUGCAUCUGUUACACUGUACUGUCCUGAGUGCUUACUGCAGUGCUCUGUGCUGGACGACUAUGACACGGUGUGGUUGUAGUGGCAGAAACUGAGUCACCAAUAGCAAUCAUUGAGUACUUAAUAGUGCCUGAACCCUGGGAGACUGAGUUGGAGCCUAUUCUGCGGAAGAAUUCCCGAUGACUUCUCUCUCUGCUCGUCUUGGCACCUAAUGAAAUGGAUGUAAUUUAUUUCCAUUAAUGUCUGUCUUCCCCCUCUACAGGACAGUACAAGUGUAGUAGUGGGCAGAGAAUAUGUCGAUUGUGAUAUCGUGCUCUGCUCGAUGUAAGUGCCGGAUAAAUACAACCGACUGAAAUAGGUCUCUAACCCCCAUCCUGUUCGUCAUAUGGUAUUCUGUCAAAGAGCCUUCAUUAAUCCCUUUUGCUGUCUUAGUGCACUUCACUGUCUAUACUGACUUAAGAUGUUUUUUAUGUACUCGUACUGCCCUUUCAAACUUACCUGGGGUUCAGGGUGCACAGCUUCAUGUAUUGACCCUGCAUAUGCCAUUGCACCAGUGUGUAACUCAAUUUUAAUGUCUUGGCACAUAGACCGAAAGCUUCUGGAGAGCAGGCGCCGUGUGUGCUCCGACGUGUUGAACUUUUUAAAGCAUCUGGACCUUGUUCCAGAGUCAGUGCUUCCUGCCUCUAGACUGUUCACUUGUUGUCGGCAGGGCCCUUGGCUGUCGUUCUAUUGUACUCUCCCAAGGGUAUAUAGCAAGCACAGUGCUCUGCACGUGGAGGUCAAAUACAAUCAACUGGCUGACUUAGGUUGUAAGCUCCCAGUGGGCAGAGGCUGUGUCACCCCUACAAAGAGGGUGUUUAAUACAUUAUGGUCUUUCUCGAGGCUGACCGAAUUUGGGGUCAGCUGCCCCAAUGGGAUGCUACCAUUGGAGUGGAGGCGGAGUGGGGGUGAAGGCCCACACUGGUACUGGUAAGUGUUGAGGGACUUGGCUGCGUGAGGAAAAAAGGCAGAAGUCCAGUUCUUUUUGCCCCCCACCCCCCGGAGAAGUUUCUCGGGCAAUCCUGCUUAGAGGACCAAGGAAGAAGCCUGAGCCCCAGAUGCAUCAUGGGAGACCCAGCCUCCCCGAGGACAUCUUGGUGCGGACAGGAGCAUAAGUGUUGUACUCCAAACCCCGGACUCUUGGAGCUGUGUUUGGGACAAAUGGGAGGAAUCAAUGCCUGUGGCACACCUUUUCAGCCUACCAAUGGUCACAUCGAUCCGCAGGAAGCCAGAGCCUGGACCUGCACCGGACCUGCACCAGACCAUCCGCCCCCGGGCAGAGUGGAGGACAAACCGCUCCUCAUGGGAUGCCAUGGACAUUGCGCCGGCCCCGCUAUUUGGGAGUCGCCUGGCACCA